UUUCUCAUUUUUUGGACCCAGCAGUGGAAUAUCCUCUGCUGGUCUACUAACCAUAUGAGUUCCCGUGAUUCCAGAACUUAGGCAAUUGUGCUUCUGAAUUUAAGUUAUCGAUCUCAACAUCUGAAUUUGGUUGUGUUUGUGAUCUUAAAUUGGUUUCAACCUGAUUUGAAUUUCCAAUGUCACCUUUUAAAGGACUGCUAUUUCCUUCUGCAAAAGGUUCGCUAGCUGUUUUUCAAAACUUGACAGAUGCAAGCACAACCUGUCAUCUCCUUGAUCACAUUGAGCAUCUCUAUCAAUCAUAUAGAAUGACUCAUCCACUGACAUAGAUGAAUGUACUAAUUGUCCAUUACCAGGGUCAGCAUCAAUGUUUUGUUUCAAAGUUGGUAAUAUUAGGCUUGUGUGUGACCUUUUCAGACUCUGAUGCAGUAGAUGUUUCUCUCUUUUUCUUGGCUGAAUUUAUAUCAGUUGUUCGAAGUAGCUUAAUCGGGGACUCAAUGUUUGUUUCAAAGUUAAGCUAGCAAGCGAACCUUUUGCAGAAGGAAUUAGCAGUCCUUUAAAAGGUGACGUUGGAAAUUCUAAUCAUGUUGAAACCAAUUUUAAGACCACAAACACAACCAAAUUUAGAUGUUGAGAUCGAUAACUUAAAUUCAGAAGCAUUGUUGCCAAAGUUUGAGGCUGGAAUCACGGGAACUCAUAUGGUUAGUAGAUCAGCAGAGGAUAUUCCACUUGGUGGUUCCAAAAGAUGAGAAAUCCAAAGAAGCAUCUCAGAUUGCUAGGGAAACAAGACUGGUCAAGAAAGAAUUUGAGGAAACAACAGCAGAGGCAUUUUGUCCUGUUAGACAGAUAAGUGGAGAAAAGGCAACAAAUGGCAACAAAAAAGUCAUCAAAAGUUAGCCUGCUAAUUCAGGAAACACACCACCCCUUCAUGCAAUCAGCUAUGCAUGUCAUCUAGAGGUCGAGGGUCGAGAUUUCAGGUA
Molecule: long non-coding RNA, 977 nt
Organism: Lycium ferocissimum
Lineage: Eukaryota; Viridiplantae; Streptophyta; Magnoliopsida; Solanales; Solanaceae
Exons: 3
Source: RefSeq, a predicted model, not a curated record